UGCAAGUCGAGCGCAGGUAACCAGAUGACCCCUUCGGGGUGAUUCUGGCGGAAUGAGCGGCGGACGGGUGAGUAACACGUGGGCAACCUGCCUGUAAGACUGGGAUAACUUCGGGAAACCGGAGCUAAUACCGGAUAGUAUUUCCUUUCUCCUGAUUGGAAAUGGAAAGACGGUUUCGGCUGUCACUUACAGAUGGGCCCGCGGUGCAUUAGCUAGUUGGUGGGGUAAUGGCCCACCAAGGCGACGAUGCAUAGCCGACCUGAGAGGGUGAUCGGCCACACUGGGACUGAGACACGGCCCAGACUCCUACGGGAGGCAGCAGUAGGGAAUCUUCCGCAAUGGACGAAAGUCUGACGGAGCAACGCCGCGUGAGCGAUGAAGGCCUUCGGGUCGUAAAGCUCUGUUGUUAGGGAAGAACAAGUACGAGAGUAACUGCUCGUACCUUGACGGUACCUAACCAGAAAGCCCCGGCUAACUACGUGCCAGCAGCCGCGGUAAUACGUAGGGGGCAAGCGUUGUCCGGAAUUAUUGGGCGUAAAGGGCUCGUAGGCGGUUUCUUAAGUCUGAUGUGAAAGCCCACAGCUCAACUGUGGAGGGUCAUUGGAAACUGGGGAACUUGAGUGCAGAAGAGGAGAGUGGAAUUCCACGUGUAGCGGUGAAAUGCGUAGAUAUGUGGAGGAACACCAGUGGCGAAGGCGACUCUCUGGUCUGUAACUGACGCUGAGGAGCGAAAGCGUGGGGA
Molecule: ribosomal RNA, 742 nt
Filed under: Oceanobacillus picturae
Lineage: Bacteria; Bacillati; Bacillota; Bacilli; Caryophanales; Bacillaceae
Description: bacterial SSU rRNA
Rfam family: Bacterial small subunit ribosomal RNA
Source: RNAcentral